Long non-coding RNA from Pipistrellus kuhlii (Kuhl's pipistrelle), 1096 nucleotides. RefSeq lists it as uncharacterized. The transcript is spliced from 2 exons. The record is from RefSeq and is a predicted model, not a curated record. NCBI's taxonomy places the organism in Eukaryota, Metazoa, Chordata, Mammalia, Chiroptera, Vespertilionidae.
AAAUUAAAUUCUAAAUAUUAACGGCAGUGAGUCCUGCACCUGCGGGCUAGGAACAAGUUUCAUAUUUAAAACUUUCACGGUCCAACCUGGCUCCCAUCCCAGUUUCAAUGUGGAAGGUGUGACAAAUAUCCAGCAAAGAUAUUCUCUGAAGCUGGGAAACUUUUAGACUCAAAGAAACCUGGGAGAAUGCAGAGGAGCUGAGCAAGGGGGCUGGCCCAGCAGGCAGGACGCAUGUAAAUUCCAGUUCUGCUGCGAGUAGAAAGAUAACCUUUAACAAGUGGCAUCAUAUCUCCCACCUUGGUUUUCUCAUCUGUGUGUAAGAGGUAUCUGAAGGUCUCAAUUUUUAUUUCUCUGUCACAGCCUGACAUCUUUGGUAAGGUCUAGUCAGAGAUGGUAAGAAGGCAUGAUCUUACGCCAUAUCUGACUGGUUGACAGAGGCUGCCGGGAGCACUGUUAAGGAGGAUUCUGGAGCGAAAUCCAGGCUCAGAAAUAGUGUUGUGCUCAAACAAGUGAUCUCCUCCUUGGGCUGAGACAGGAAUUAAAGCAGCACAACCUCCAGGUGGCUGGCCUUCCUGGUCACUCUUUAAGCAGCUGGGAUUGUGGAAUGAGAAGAAGGACUAUAGAAGUCCACACAUUCUCAGUCUCAGGAAUAGCUAAUCCUGAUCCUCAUCUUUGUAAUAAACCUCCCGAUCCUGAUAGGACACUGACACACCAACAGGAAAAAAAAAAAAAAUGCACAUGAGCAACUGCAAGGAAGCCCACAGGCUCUGACCUCACGCACAGUAAAGAGAUGAACAAGUGAUGGACUAUUUAUCACUCCCACACUCACUUGCCCAACCUUGUCCUACUUUUCUGGCUUGUAGCAUCAUGCUUUGUAAAUUCAGUGCAUUUUUAUUCUGUGACAGAAACAGCAACUGCUGCCCAGCAUAACGCACUUUGAGAAAGUAGAAAAGAAAAUGGAUGCCUUGCAAAUCCCAUUACCUCAAAGGCCUUCACAGAAAGAGUCCCAACCUGGUCAAUGACCAACUGUAACACCAGCCAUUCAGAAGAGGCAGACAAUUGAGACACCUAGGUGCCCGUCAGCAGAUGAUUGGAU